AUGGCGGCGAUGACGGUGCGUGAGGUGUUGUAUAUGUACAACGUCGCACGACAGGCAUACGACCAGUUCUUGUCCGUGUGCGGCAGCCUAGAGAAAGCCCAGAAUGCGGUGGCGCUGCUGGUGUGGCUGGACCAGGGCACCAUCUCCGCCAUCCACCACAUCCCAGCCAUGGCGCCCGACACCGUCGCCGUCGUCGCAGAAGAGGCCAACACCAUCCUCGAGUGCCUCCGCCACCAGAAGCCUGCGCUCCCGCCCAUCCCAAUCAUCUCUACGCUCUGCAUGCAAGGCGGUGUCCACAUCGAGCCGGGCUUCUUUGCCUUCCACCAGGACCUCGUCGUCCGCGGGGUCGCCCACUUCCUCGACGGUGCCGGCAAGUUCGUAUUCGACGACCGCCUGCACGCCCUGCUCCAGAGGUCCGAGACUGGGCUGAUUGUCAACCCGUCGGAGCUCAUGGCGCCCUACAUCUCCCAACCAGUGGUUGUGCCGGAGGACUGCCGCUCCAUGUUCAUCACCUUCUCCAAGGGAAAUGCCAUCCACCGCUAG
RNAcentral lists this ribosomal RNA (543 nucleotides) under Triticum aestivum (bread wheat). Its description in RNAcentral is "partial small subunit ribosomal RNA". The record is from RNAcentral. Lineage: Eukaryota; Viridiplantae; Streptophyta; Magnoliopsida; Poales; Poaceae.